AUGCUCGCUUUGGCAGCACAUAUACUAAAAUUGGAACGAUACAGAGAAGAUUAGCAUGGCCCCUGCACAAGGAUGACAUGCAAAUUCGUGAAGCAUUCCAUAUUUUU
Bison bison bison is the source of this 107-nucleotide small nuclear RNA. The record is from Ensembl. NCBI's taxonomy places the organism in Eukaryota, Metazoa, Chordata, Mammalia, Artiodactyla, Bovidae.